GACGAACGCUGGCGGCGUGCUUAACACAUGCAAGUCGAACGGAAAGGCCCUGCUUGCAGGGUACUCGAGUGGCGAACGGGUGAGUAACACGUGGGUGAUCUGCCCUGCACUUCGGGAUAAGCCUGGGAAACUGGGUCUAAUACCGGAUAGGAGCCAUUUUUAGUGUGAUGGUUGGAGAGUUUUUUCGGUGUAGGAUGAGCUCGCGGCCUAUCAGCUUGUUGGUGGGGUAAUGGCCUACCAAGGCGGCGACGGGUAGCCGGCCUGAGAGGGUGGACGGCCACAUUGGGACUGAGAUACGGCCCAGACUCCUACGGGAGGCAGCAGUGGGGAAUAUUGCACAAUGGGCGCAAGCCUGAUGCAGCGACGCCGCGUGGGGGAUGACGGCCUUCGGGUUGUAAACUCCUUUCGCUAGGGACGAAGCUUUUUGUGACGGUACCUAGAUAAGAAGCACCGGCUAACUACGUG
This 465-nucleotide ribosomal RNA is filed under the name uncultured bacterium. RNAcentral's name for it is "partial 16S ribosomal RNA". It matches the Rfam family "Bacterial small subunit ribosomal RNA", at positions 28 to 507 of the family's 1533-position model. The record is from RNAcentral.